RNAcentral lists this ribosomal RNA (307 nucleotides) under uncultured eukaryote. Its description in RNAcentral is "partial 18S ribosomal RNA". It matches the Rfam family "Eukaryotic small subunit ribosomal RNA", at positions 1470 to 1796 of the family's 1831-position model. The record is from RNAcentral.
CCCUUAGACGUUCUGGGCCGCACGCGCGCUACACUGACACAGGCAACGAGCUUUCCUUUACCGAAAGGUAUGGGUAAUCUUUUGAAACUGUGUCGUGCUGGGGAUAGAUCCUUGCAAUUUUUGAUCUUAAACGAGGAAUUCCUAGUAAGCGCGAGUCAUCAACUCGCGUUGAUUACGUCCCUGCCCUUUGUACACACCGCCCGUCGCUACUACCGAUUGAAUGGCUUAGUGAGGCCUCAGGAUCCGCGCUUAAUGUGUGGAGAAUUUGGACAAACUACGUCAUUUAGAGGAAGUAAAAGGCGUAACA